GCUCAGGCUGCUGGGUGACAUUUCUAUGUCUCUUCUUCAACAGUGAAAUAUUUCAGUGGUUGUCCAUCACCUAUGGGAGUCUGAGAUGGCAUAAUCAGGCCACUGGGGCCUUGCUAGUUGUGCUGUCCCUGAUACUCACUGUGGUAGGCAGUUUCUGAAAUGGCUCCCAGUGAUCCCCAACUCCUGAAAUUCACACUCUGUGUAAUCCCCUCCCUUUGAGUGUGGGCUAGACCUGGUGGCCAAAGUGAUAGGAUUUCACUUCUGAUGUUAGGCUAUGAAAGGCUGUGACCGCUCUCUCUGCCUCUUCUCUCUCACUUGAAGCAAACUGACAUGCUGAAAGCUGCCCUAUGGAGAGGCUCAUGUGGCAAGGAACAGAGGGUGGCUUCUGGCCAACACCCAUUGAGGAACUCAGGCCCUCAGUCAAACAGCCUGCAAGGAACUGAACCCUGCCAAUAACCCUGUGUUGAAAGCUUCCCUUUGGAGAAGAACUGAGGGCUGUCUCUGGUCAAUAGCACUGAGGAACUGAAUCCAGCAAACAAUUAUGUGAAGAAACUUGGA
Molecule: non-coding RNA, 558 nt
Filed under: Pongo abelii (Sumatran orangutan)
Lineage: Eukaryota; Metazoa; Chordata; Mammalia; Primates; Hominidae
Source: RNAcentral